RNAcentral lists this small RNA (578 nucleotides) under Pongo abelii (Sumatran orangutan). RNAcentral describes it as "processed transcript". The record is from RNAcentral. Lineage: Eukaryota; Metazoa; Chordata; Mammalia; Primates; Hominidae.
AAGGCCUCAGGCGAUUCAGCUCGACCAGUUCUUCUACAAGUUGCAGAGUCGGCCUACAGGUUUGGUCUGGGUUCUGUUGCUGGAGCUGUUGGAGCCACUGCUGUGUAUCCUAUCGAUCUUGUAAAAACUCGAAUGCAGAACCAACGAUCAACUGGCUCUUUUGUGGGAGAACUCAUGUAUAAAAACAGCUUUGACUGUUUUAAGAAAGUGCUACGCUAUGAAGGUUUCUUUGGACUGUAUAGAGGUCUGUUGCCACAGUUAUUGGGAGUUGCCCCAGAGAAGGCCAUAAAACUUACAGUGAACGAUUUUGUGAGGGAUAAAUUUAUGCACAAAGAUGGUUCGGUCCCACUUGCAGCAGAAAUUCUUGCUGGAGGCUGCGCUUGUAGUUGUGGGAGUUCUGACGGAGACCUGGACCUUCAGUCUUCCUUGCAUGAGGCUGGAGGCUCCCAGGUGAUUUUCACAAAUCCUUUAGAAAUCGUCAAGAUCCGUUUGCAAGUGGCUGGAGAAAUCACCACUGGUCCUCGAGUCAGUGCUCUGUCUGUCGUGCGGGACCUGGGGUUCUUUGGGAUCUACAAGGU